CUGGUUUAGAAUGUUUCAGUUUGCUUGCUGUUUGUUCGUGUUCGUUGCUCUUUCGAAAAUCGAAGCAGUGAAUCCUGGUUUCAGAACAGAAAUCACUCAGAAAGUUCGCGAGAUUGGACCUUCAAGAUUUAUGAAUGAGGUUCAGAGUUUUGAUAUUCCCGACCAGACUGGAGAAAACGACGGAUUCAAGUGGAAGUUGUCAGACAUCAAAAGUUCAAGUUUGGCAAUUCCGAAGUCGUCAUUGACUGUAGCACCUGGAGAAGGCUUGAAGCUGUUAGUCUCCGGAGCAUCAAUGAAAGUGACUGCUGCUUGGUCAUAUGAACUAGAGGUUUGGUGCGUACAUCUUGGUUGGUUGCCAAUGACCUAAUAUUUAUGAUUUUUGAGUGGUAGGCCUCAUUUUCCUUAUGGAUCUGGUACGUGUGACAUUCCUGUGUCGAAUAC
This is a long non-coding RNA of Corticium candelabrum, 441 nucleotides long. RefSeq lists it as uncharacterized. Lineage: Eukaryota; Metazoa; Porifera; Homoscleromorpha; Homosclerophorida; Plakinidae. The record is from RefSeq and is a predicted model, not a curated record. The transcript is spliced from 3 exons.